UAUUGUUUUGUUAUAAAUGUAAUACUACCUCCGUCCCAAAAUAUAGCCAUUUUUAGCUAUGAAUCUAGACAUUGUUUUUAGCUAUGAAUCUAGACAUACAAUGUCCAAAUUCAUAACUAAAAAUGCUUAUAUUUUGGAACGGAGUGAGUAUUAAAUUUGUAGUUUUGUGAUA
RNAcentral lists this microRNA precursor (172 nucleotides) under Oryza sativa (Asian cultivated rice). Its description in RNAcentral is "miR1439 stem-loop (osa-MIR1439)". The record is from miRBase by way of RNAcentral. Lineage: Eukaryota; Viridiplantae; Streptophyta; Magnoliopsida; Poales; Poaceae.